RNAcentral lists this ribosomal RNA (484 nucleotides) under uncultured bacterium. RNAcentral describes it as "partial 16S ribosomal RNA". It matches the Rfam family "Bacterial small subunit ribosomal RNA", at positions 29 to 507 of the family's 1533-position model. The record is from RNAcentral.
AUUGAACGCUGGCGGCAUGCUUUACACAUGCAAGUCGAACGGCAGCGCGGGCUUCGGCCUGGCGGCGAGUGGCGAACGGGUGAGUAAUGCAUCGUAACGUGCCCAGUAGUGGGGGAUAGCCCGGCGAAAGCCGGAUUAAUACCGCAUACGACCUGAGGGUGAACGCGGGGGACCGAAAGGCCUCGCGCUAUUGGAGCGGCCGAUGUCGGAUUAGCUAGUUGGUGGGGUAAAGGCUUACCAAGGCAACGAUCCGUAGCUGGUCUGAGAGGACGACCAGACACACUGGGACUGAGACACGGCCCAGACUCCUACGGGAGGCAGCAGUGGGGAAUUUUGGACAAUGGGGGCAACCCUGAUCCAGCCAUGCCGCGUGCGGGAAGAAGGCAUGCGGGUUGUAAACCGCUUUUGUUCGGGAAGAAAUCCUCUGGGCUAAUACCCCGGGGGGAUGACGGUACCGGAAGAAUAAGCACCGGCUAACUACGUG